AUUGAACGCUGGCGGCAGGCCUAACACAUGCAAGUCGGGCGGAUGAAGGGAGCUUGCUCCUGGAUUCAGCGGCGGACGGGUGAGUAAUGCCUAGGAAUCUGCCUGGUAGUGGGGGAUAACGUCCGGAAACGGGCGCUAAUACCGCAUACGUCCUGAGGGAGAAAGUGGGGGAUCUUCGGACCUCACGCUAUCAGAUGAGCCUAGGUCGGAUUAGCUAGUUGGUGGGGUAAAGGCCUACCAAGGCGACGAUCCGAAACUGGUCUGAGAGGAUGAUCAGUCACACUGGAACUGAGACACGGUCCAGACUCCUACGGGAGGCAGCAGUGGGGAAUAUUGGACAAUGGGCGAAAGCCUGAUCCAGCCAUGCCGCGUGUGUGAAGAAGGUCUUCGGAUUGUAAAGCACUUUAAGUUGGGAGGAAGGGCAGUAAGUUAAUACCUUGCUGUUUUGACGUUACCAACAGAAUAAGCACCGGCUAACUUCGUG
RNAcentral lists this ribosomal RNA (484 nucleotides) under uncultured bacterium. RNAcentral describes it as "partial 16S ribosomal RNA". It matches the Rfam family "Bacterial small subunit ribosomal RNA", at positions 30 to 507 of the family's 1533-position model. The record is from RNAcentral.